AGGUCAUCAUCAACUUCAAUAGAUUUUCUGCUAUUCUGAUCCCCAAAGGUAACCAGGGUAACAUCAAAAACAGAACUCUCACUGCAGUGCUCUACAAGAAAAACAAGGCAAAAGUAAAGAAAUGGUAAGAAUCUUCAUUUUGCACAUAAGGUACAGGAGUUCACUUUUCUAAACUGAAAUUUUAGAAUUUAUUUUUCCAAUUCCAUUAUAUGGUUACCUAAAAGGCAGUUAUACUUGUGUGAAUAAAUGGUGACAAACUCCACCCAUUAUUUGGAGGUCCUAGAAUGUUUUCUCAAUCAUUUCUCCUUAAAUUUCUCUUUAACUUACUACAAUAUGAAAGCAUAUCUGUUUAUAUAUCAAAUUAAGUUCCUUCUCAAGCUACAUGCUUUUCUUUCAAGGUUAGAUGGUCUGACUAUCCGAGUUAAAAGUCAAGAAUCUCAGCAUGAUGAACGCAGUGGCUUCCGAAUAGUAUGUUAUUGACUCCAGAAGCUCGGGUUGGGAGAGGAAGGUGUCAGCACUAGAAGAGAGAAUCAGCAAAAUAUAACAUGAAAUUAUUUUUAAACAUAAGACAUUGUACAUGCAAUUACAUCAGAAAUGCUGGUCUAUAUGUAUCUACAUCUGUAAUGUGAGAAAAUGGCAUCUGGGUAAUAAUGUCACACCUAGAACACUGAUAUAAUAAAUUUUCAGUUUAAAGGGUGUUA
RNAcentral lists this long non-coding RNA (701 nucleotides) under Gossypium barbadense (sea-island cotton). Its description in RNAcentral is "long non-coding RNA (GBAR_LNC016944)". The record is from RNAcentral. Lineage: Eukaryota; Viridiplantae; Streptophyta; Magnoliopsida; Malvales; Malvaceae.